UUGCACAGGAACUAAGUUUACUUCCAGACAGCCAAUCCCAGGUACUAGAAACAUGGAACAGAAGAACUCUACGAAUAUGUGGUAAGGGUCAAAGAGUAGGACAAGCAAGAAACCAGUAUGAAGCAGGCAACAGGCAGAGCAAACCAUGUGCAGAAAAGACAGGACCAAUAUACGCUAUGAAGGAAGUUGCAAGCCAACAAGCCUGCUCCCACUUGCUCGCCUGAGAAACAGAACAAACCAACAAAAGAAACUACACCAGGCCAUGAAAGGUUAUCCUUCACUGGAUGGAAGCUAGAGAUUUUCUUUGGCAGAGGACAACUGGUGUGGUGUGCCAUGACAGCACCCUGCUAAUGUAGCUGGAAGUCAACCUAAAAUAAGAUCCCGGUGAAGUGUUUUUCUCUAGUCUCCAUCCUGAUUGAACUGGUGUAUGCUGGUUGCCACCUGUUUUGUGCCUGGUAUAAUAUUCAGGUACAUAGAUACAGAUUUAAGGCAUCAAUAAUGCCUUCCAAAAUCCCUCAAUAUCAAAAGGUCAUCCAGCUGAUGUUCCAGUACUUUUAAGAAUUAUUGGACAAAUUUCUGAACAGCAAAGGAAUCAUCAUGCUGAUGACAGGAUAACUCUAUACAUACCAUAAUGGACGUGUCAUUUUUAUGAAUUUGUAAAUUUCAUUCAGGUUCCACGUGCAAAAUAAUGAAUCUACAAAACCAGAACCAUAAAUUCUAAUCUUCACAAAGCAAUUAAUAAAUGCCUAUAACUUCCUCAGCUAUGACACAUAACUCCUUCUAGCAGAGGAGUAAGUCAUCACUUAAGUUUCCUAACAUCUUAUGUUAAGAUUAAGAACUAAUAAUCACUAAAUAGAGAUCUGUAUUACAUUCUGCAUUACCUGAAACUGCCUUUUAUCAAUUAUGGUAUGAUGAGUUUGAUCAUGUGUCAUUCCAUCUGGUUGCUUAUAUACACAUGCCAUAUGUUCCAAGUUAACAUUGCUGUUAUUUGUCGAUAUUACUUUCAUACCAAGGAUCCAUAGAACAUCAUGUUAACUUUAUGUUUUAGUUCAUCCCAGAGUUUAAAAACGGGGUCUAAGAGGAGGAUUACUUGCCCAUAUAAGUAUUCUAUGUUGAUGAGACUGUAAUCACAAUGUUAAAGGAGGACUUAUUUUUAACAAGAUGUUUGGAUGAGUUACUGCCAUAUCAACAUUAACAUCAUAUGGACUCUCUUCCUAGUACUGAUUUGAAAUAACCUUGCCACUAUACUACAACAGUGGGUUUUUAAAUUAAAAUAUUUGGUUGUGGCAAAGCUUCAUCCCACCAUCUUACAUUCCCUUUCCUUAUUCUAGGUUUGGAAACAGUCUAUGCUACUUUAGCAGUGAAAUCCCCCAAAAGAGAAUUUUCACAGUAUCUAUGAAAGUGAUCAAGGCACAAACUCAGUUCCUCAGUAAAGUUAUCCUCUACAAUAGCAGUGGCAUCCAGUGCCCAAAGGCAGAUAACACUAACAGGACAUUCUUAGCAAAACUCAUAAAGCCCAACCACCUAAGAUGUUAAGAUGAUUGGGUCCCAAAAGUAAUACCAUCAUAAAAACAUAUUUAUAUCCCGUUUAAAACAUUUCCCACAUAAAAAGACACCUUGCCUAAUAAGAAUAAUUUUAAAGACACAUAUAUUUUACAUAUUAAGUAUGUUCUGCUGCAUCGCACACGUGUUAAAUUUUGUGAAGUUGUAUGAAAGUGACCUGAAAUG
Cryptotermes secundus is the source of this 1728-nucleotide long non-coding RNA. RefSeq lists it as uncharacterized. The record is from RefSeq and is a predicted model, not a curated record. Lineage: Eukaryota; Metazoa; Arthropoda; Insecta; Blattodea; Kalotermitidae. The transcript has 4 exons.